CCAAAUACUGGAGACUGCAGAUUUGU
Molecule: non-coding RNA, 26 nt
Filed under: Rattus norvegicus (Norway rat)
Lineage: Eukaryota; Metazoa; Chordata; Mammalia; Rodentia; Muridae
Source: RNAcentral